UACGGAGGAUGCGAGCGUUAUCCGGAUUUAUUGGGUUUAAAGGGUGCGUAGGUGGGCUAUUAAGUCAGUGGUGAAAGUUUGUCGCUCAACGAUAAAAUUGCCGUUGAAACUGGUGGUCUUGAGUAUGGAUGAAGUAGGCGGAAUGCGUGGUGUAGCGGUGAAAUGCAUAGAGAUCACGCAGAACUCCGAUUGCGAAGGCAGCUUACUAAGGUAUAACUGACACUGAAGCACGAAAGCGUGGGUAUCAAACAGG
RNAcentral lists this ribosomal RNA (253 nucleotides) under uncultured bacterium. Its description in RNAcentral is "partial 16S ribosomal RNA". It matches the Rfam family "Bacterial small subunit ribosomal RNA", at positions 524 to 776 of the family's 1533-position model. The record is from RNAcentral.